Molecule: ribosomal RNA, 254 nt
Filed under: uncultured bacterium
Lineage: Bacteria
Description: partial 16S ribosomal RNA
Rfam family: Bacterial small subunit ribosomal RNA
Source: RNAcentral
UACAGAGACUGCAAGCGUUAUUCGGAUUCACUGGGCGUAAAGGGCGCGUAGGCGGCCACCGCAAGUCGACUGUGAAAUCUCCGGGCUUAACCCGGAAAGGUCAGCCGAUACUGCGGGGCUAGAGUGCAGAAGGGGCAACUGGAAUUCUCGGUGUAGCGGUGAAAUGCGUAGAUAUCGAGAGGAACACCUGCGGCGAAGGCGGGUUGCUGGGCUGACACUGACGCUGAUGCGCGAAAGCUAGGGGAGCGAACGGG